Molecule: small nuclear RNA, 104 nt
Organism: Molossus molossus (Pallas's mastiff bat)
Lineage: Eukaryota; Metazoa; Chordata; Mammalia; Chiroptera; Molossidae
Source: RefSeq, a predicted model, not a curated record
GUGCUCAACUUGACAGCACAUAUACUAAAACUGGAAUGAUACAAAGAUUAGCAUGGCCCCUAGGCAAAAAUAACAUGCAAAUUCAGGAAGUGUUCCAUAUUUUU